Molecule: ribosomal RNA, 565 nt
Filed under: Salmonella enterica subsp. enterica serovar Newport
Lineage: Bacteria; Pseudomonadati; Pseudomonadota; Gammaproteobacteria; Enterobacterales; Enterobacteriaceae
Description: partial 23S ribosomal RNA
Rfam family: Bacterial large subunit ribosomal RNA
Source: RNAcentral
UGCCCUGGCAGUCAGAGGCGAUGAAGGACGUGCUAAUCUGCGAUAAGCGCCGGUAAGGUGAUAUGAACCGUUAUAACCGGCGAUUUCCGAAUGGGGAAACCCAGUGUGAUUCGUCACACUAUCAUUAACUGAAUCCAUAGGUUAAUGAGGCGAACCGGGGGAACUGAAACAUCUAAGUACCCCGAGGAAAAGAAAUCAACCGAGAUUCCCCCAGUAGCGGCGAGCGAACGGGGAGGAGCCCAGAGCCUGAAUCAGCAUGUGUGUUAGUGGAAGCGUCUGGAAAGGCGCGCGAUACAGGGUGACAGCCCCGUACACAAAAGCGCAUGUGCUGUGAGCUCGAUGAGUAGGGCGGGACACGUGGUAUCCUGUCUGAAUAUGGGGGGACCAUCCUCCAAGGCUAAAUACUCCUGACUGACCGAUAGUGAACCAGUACCGUGAGGGAAAGGCGAAAAGAACCCCGGCGAGGGGAGUGAAAAAGAACCUGAAACCGUGUACGUACAAGCAGUGGGAGCACAGGUUUACCUGUGUGACUGCGUACCUUUUGUAUAAUGGGUCAGCGACUUAU